RNAcentral lists this ribosomal RNA (393 nucleotides) under uncultured Polynucleobacter sp. Its description in RNAcentral is "bacterial SSU rRNA". It matches the Rfam family "Bacterial small subunit ribosomal RNA", at positions 985 to 1382 of the family's 1533-position model. Lineage: Bacteria; Pseudomonadati; Pseudomonadota; Betaproteobacteria; Burkholderiales; Burkholderiaceae. The record is from RNAcentral.
CAUGCCACUAACGAAGUAGAGAUACAUUAGGUGCCCGUAGGGAAAGUGGACACAGGUGCUGCAUGGCUGUCGUCAGCUCGUGUCGUGAGAUGUUGGGUUAAGUCCCGCAACGAGCGCAACCCUUGUCUUUAGUUGCUACGCAAGAGCACUCUAAAGAGACUGCCGGUGACAAACCGGAGGAAGGUGGGGAUGACGUCAAGUCCUCAUGGCCCUUAUGGGUAGGGCUUCACACGUCAUACAAUGGUGCAUACAGAGGGUUGCCAACCCGCGAGGGGGAGCUAAUCUCAGAAAAUGCAUCGUAGUCCGGAUCGUAGUCUGCAACUCGACUACGUGAAGCUGGAAUCGCUAGUAAUCGCGGAUCAGAAUGUCGCGGUGAAUACGUUCCCGGGUCUU